AGAGUUUGAUCCUGGCUCAGGAUGAACGCUAGCGGCAGGCUUAAUACAUGCAAGUCGUGGGGCAGCAUGGUGUAGCAAUACACUGAUGGCGACCGGCAAACGGGUGCGGAACACGUACGCAACCUUCCUUUAACUGGAGAAUAGCCCGGGGAAACCCGGAUUAAUACUCCGUAACAUUAUGAAGUGGCAUCACUUUAUAAUUAUAGCUCCGGCGGUUAAAGAUGGGCGUGCGCCUGAUUAGGUAGUUGGCGGGGUAACGGCCCACCAAGCCUACGAUCAGUAACUGGUGUGAGAGCACGACCAGUCACACGGGCACUGAGACACGGGCCCGACUCCUACGGGAGGCAGCAGUAAGGAAUAUUGGUCAAUGGACGCAAGUCUGAACCAGCCAUGCCGCGUGGAGGAUGAAGGUCCUCUGGAUUGUAAACUUCUUUUAUUUGGGAAGAAACCCCCGAUUUCUAUUGGGGUUGACGGUACCAGAUGAAUAAGCACCGGCUAACUCCGUGCCAGCAGCCGCGGUAAUACGGAGGGUGCAAGCGUUAUCCGGAUUCACUGGGUUUAAAGGGUGCGUAGGCGGGUUGGUAAGUCCGUGGUGAAAUCUCCAAGCUUAACUUGGAAACUGCCGUGGAUACUAUCAAUCUUGAAUUUAGUGGAGGUGAGCGGAAUAUGUCAUGUAGCGGUGAAAUGCUUAGAUAUGACAUAGAACACCCAUUGCGAAGGCAGCUCGCUACACUAUUAUUGACGCUGAGGCACGAAAGCGUGGGGAUCAAACAGGAUUAGAUACCCCCGUAGUCC
Molecule: ribosomal RNA, 795 nt
Filed under: uncultured bacterium
Lineage: Bacteria
Description: bacterial SSU rRNA
Rfam family: Bacterial small subunit ribosomal RNA
Source: RNAcentral